Molecule: small nuclear RNA, 107 nt
Filed under: Myripristis murdjan (pinecone soldierfish)
Lineage: Eukaryota; Metazoa; Chordata; Actinopteri; Holocentriformes; Holocentridae
Source: RNAcentral
CGGCUCCCUCUGGUAGUUGUGUUACUAAAAUUGGAACGAUACAGAGAAGAUUAGCAUGGCCCCUGCGCAAGGAUGACACGCAAAUUUGUGAAGCGUUCCGCAUUUUC